UGGGGAAUUUUGGACAAUGGGCGCAAGCCUGAUCCAGCCAUUCCGCGUGCAGGAUGAAGGCCCUCGGGUUGUAAACUGCUUUUGUACGGAACGAAAAGGCUCUGGUUAAUACCUGGGGCUCAUGACGGUACCGUAAGAAUAAGCACCGGCUAACUACGUGCCAGCAGCCGCGGUAAUACGUAGGGUGCAAGCGUUAAUCGGAAUUACUGGGCGUAAAGCGUGCGCAGGCGGUGAUGUAAGACAGGUGUGAAAUCCCCGGGCUUAACCUGGGAACUGCAUUUGUGACUGCAUCGCUGGAGUGCGGCAGAGGGGGAUGGAAUUCCGCGUGUAGCAGUGAAAUGCGUAGAUAUGCGGAGGAACACCGAUGGCGAAGGCAAUCCCCUGGGCCUGCACUGACGCUCAUGCACGAAAGCGUGGGGAGCAAACA
This 427-nucleotide ribosomal RNA is filed under the name uncultured Ramlibacter sp. RNAcentral describes it as "bacterial SSU rRNA". It matches the Rfam family "Bacterial small subunit ribosomal RNA", at positions 355 to 774 of the family's 1533-position model. Lineage: Bacteria; Pseudomonadati; Pseudomonadota; Betaproteobacteria; Burkholderiales; Comamonadaceae. The record is from RNAcentral.